UAGCUGCUGUAUUCACCGUGCUGAAGGAGG
Molecule: non-coding RNA, 30 nt
Filed under: Mus musculus (house mouse)
Lineage: Eukaryota; Metazoa; Chordata; Mammalia; Rodentia; Muridae
Source: RNAcentral